UUGAAUCAGUCAAAUGAGAAUGAUACAAUGACAAAAUGAAAUAGAGCAAAUUGAGUUGAAUUGAAUUAUAGAUACAACACGGUGGUGUCAGUUGCCACUUGUUUUGCAGUCACUGACCACCUCAUUGACCACCUACAGCAUGGAUAGGCAACCCUGUUCCUGGAUUAUUGCAGGUGUAGCACUUCACUCAUCGUUUAAAAACAAGAAAUGGACAGUGACGGGGGAACAUGCUCGCAUGGCUUGUGCUGAUUAUUCACUUCUUGCUACAGUUCCAGAUGGAC
This is a long non-coding RNA of Oncorhynchus masou masou (cherry salmon), 281 nucleotides long. RefSeq lists it as uncharacterized. Lineage: Eukaryota; Metazoa; Chordata; Actinopteri; Salmoniformes; Salmonidae. The transcript has 3 exons. The record is from RefSeq and is a predicted model, not a curated record.